RNAcentral lists this ribosomal RNA (290 nucleotides) under Escherichia coli. Its description in RNAcentral is "partial 23S ribosomal RNA". It matches the Rfam family "Bacterial large subunit ribosomal RNA", at positions 903 to 1191 of the family's 2925-position model. The record is from RNAcentral. Lineage: Bacteria; Pseudomonadati; Pseudomonadota; Gammaproteobacteria; Enterobacterales; Enterobacteriaceae.
UAGAGCACUGUUUCGGCAAGGGGGUCAUCCCGACUUACCAACCCGAUGCAAACUGCGAAUACCGGAGAAUGUUAUCACGGGAGACACACGGCGGGUGCUAACGUCCGUCGUGAAGAGGGAAACAACCCAGACCGCCAGCUAAGGUCCCAAAGUCAUGGUUAAGUGGGAAACGAUGUGGGAAGGCCCAGACAGCCAGGAUGUUGGCUUAGAAGCAGCCAUCAUUUAAAGAAAGCGUAAUAGCUCACUGGUCGAGUCGGCCUGCGCGGAAGAUGUAACGGGGCUAAACCAUG